This 521-nucleotide ribosomal RNA is filed under the name uncultured bacterium. Its description in RNAcentral is "bacterial SSU rRNA". It matches the Rfam family "Bacterial small subunit ribosomal RNA", at positions 26 to 518 of the family's 1533-position model. The record is from RNAcentral.
AGGACGAACGCUGGCGGCGUGCCUAAUACAUGCAAGUCGAACGGUCUUUCUAUGGAAGCUUGCUUCCACUGAGAAGAUAGUGGCGAACGGGUGAGUAACACGUGGGUAACCUGCCCAUAAGAGGGGGGAUAACAUCCGGAAACGGGUGCUAAUACCGCAUAGUUUUCUUGAUCGCAUGAUCGGGAAAGGAAAGACGGCCUUUGUGCUGUCGCUUAUGGAUGGACCCGCGGCGUAUUAGUUAGUUGGUGAGGUAACGGCUCACCAAGACGAUGAUACGUAGCCGACCUGAGAGGGUGAUCGGCCACAUUGGGACUGAGACACGGCCCAAACUCCUACGGGAGGCAGCAGUAGGGAAUCUUCCGCAAUGGACGAAAGUCUGACGGAGCAACGCCGCGUGAGUGAAGAAAAGGUUUUCGGAUCGUAAAACUCUGUUGUCAGAGAAGAACAAGUUGGAGAGUAACUGCUCCAGCCUUGACGGUAUCUGACCAGAAAGCCACGGCUAACUACGUGCCAGCCGCGGC